Molecule: ribosomal RNA, 468 nt
Filed under: uncultured bacterium
Lineage: Bacteria
Description: partial 16S ribosomal RNA
Rfam family: Bacterial small subunit ribosomal RNA
Source: RNAcentral
GACGAACGCUGGCGGCGUGCUUAACACAUGCAAGUCGAACGGAAAGGCCCUGCUUUUGUGGUGUGCUCGAGUGGCGAACGGGUGUGUCACACGUGAGUACCCUGCCCUUGACUUUGGUAUAACUUCAGGAAACUGUGUCUUAUCCCGGAUAGGCGCUCCUUCUUCAUGGUGUGGGUUGGAAAGUUUCGUGGGUUGGGGAUGGACUCGCGGCUUAUCAGCUUGUUGGUGGGGUAGUGGCUUACCAAGGCUUUGACGGGUAGCCGGCCUGAGAGGGUGACCGGCAAAAUGGGGCCUGAGAUAGGGCCAGGACUCCUAGGGGAGGAAGAAGGGGGGAAAAUGGAAAAAGGGGCGGAGGCCGAAGGCAGGAACGCGGGGGGCGGGAGAAGGGCUUUGGGUUGGAAACCCGCUUUGGCAGGUGAGGAAGCGUGAGUGACGGUACCGAGUAAAGAAGCACCGGCUAACUACGUG